UAAUGCGAUAAGUAAUGUGAAUUGCAGAAUUCAGUGAAUCAUCGAAUCUUUGAACGCACCUUGCGCUCCUUGGUAUUCCUUGGAGCAUGCCUGUUUGAGUAUCAUGAAAUCUUCAAAGUAAAUCUUUUGUUAACUCAAUUGGUUUCUACUUUGGUAUUGGAGGUCUUUGCAGCUUCACACCUGCUCCUCUUUGUUCAUUAGCUGGAUCUCAGUGUUAUGCUUGGUUCCACUCGGCGUGAUAAGUUAUCUAUCGCUGAGGACACUGUAAAAGGUGGCCAAGGUAAAUGCAGAUGAACCGCUUCUAAUAGUCCAUUGACUUGGACAAUACUUUUAUGAUCUGAUCUCAAAUCAGGUAGGACUACCCGCUGAACUUAAGC
This 377-nucleotide unclassified non-coding RNA is filed under the name plant metagenome. RNAcentral's name for it is "partial contains 5.8S ribosomal RNA, internal transcribed spacer 2, and large subunit ribosomal RNA". The stretch from base 1 to 104 matches the Rfam family "5.8S ribosomal RNA", at positions 51 to 154 of the family's 154-position model. The record is from RNAcentral.